UACGUAGGGUGCGAGCGUUGUCCGGAAUUACUGGGCGUAAAGAGCUCGUAGGUGGUUUGUCGCGAUUGUUCGUGAAACUCACAGCUUAACUGUGGGCGUGCGGGCGAUACGGUCGAACUGGAGCCAGUAGGGGAUGCGGAAUUCGGGUGUAGUGGUGGAAUGCGUAGGAGAUCCGGAGAACACCAGCGGCGAAGGCGGCAUCCUGGACUUGGUCCUGAACACUCAGGACGCGGAAAGCGAU
RNAcentral lists this ribosomal RNA (241 nucleotides) under uncultured bacterium. Its description in RNAcentral is "partial 16S ribosomal RNA". It matches the Rfam family "Bacterial small subunit ribosomal RNA", at positions 524 to 763 of the family's 1533-position model. The record is from RNAcentral.